RNAcentral lists this long non-coding RNA (4068 nucleotides) under Homo sapiens (human). RNAcentral's name for it is "HSALNT0389849". The record is from RNAcentral. Lineage: Eukaryota; Metazoa; Chordata; Mammalia; Primates; Hominidae.
ACGCUACGACGGCAGCAGGAGCUCCUGGUCCACAGGCUCACAGGCCCGGCAGCGGCCCCCAGAGGCCGGGCUGGGAAAAGCAGCGGGCUUCAGCGGAUGAACAAGGUUACCACGGGAAGUGUAGGAGCCAAGGCCGCAGAGAAUGGGGAGGCUCCGCUAUUCUCUAAAUUCAGGGGGCGGCGGGCGCGGUGGCUCACGCCUGUAAUCUCAGCACUUGGGGAGGCCGAGGAGGGCGGAUCACGUGAGGUCAGGAGUUCGAGACCAGCCUGGCCAACACAGUGAAACCCCGUCUCUACUAAAAAUACAAAAACUAGCCGGGCGUGGUGGGGCACGCCUAUAAUCCCAGCUUAAUCCCAGCUACUCGGGAGGCUGAGGCAGGAGAAUCGCUUGAACCUGGGAGGUGGAGGUUGCAGUGAGCCGAGAUCGGGCCACUGCACUCCAGCCUGGGCGACAGGGCAAGGCUCCAUCUCAGAACAACAACAGCAACAACAAAAGGCCGGGCAUGGUGGCUCACGCUUGUAAUUCCAGCACUUUGGGAGGCCGAGGCGGGCGGAUCACAAGGUCAGGAGUUCGAGACCAGCCUGGCCAAAAUGGUUAAAUCCCGUCUCUACUAAAAAAUACAAUUAGCUGGGCAUGGUGGCGUGCGCCUGUAAUCCCAGCUACUCAGGAGGCUGGGGUAGGAAAAUCGCUUGACCCCCGGAGGCGGAGGUUGCAGUGAGUCGAGAUCAUGCCACUGCACUCCAGCCUGGGCGACAGAAGGAAACUCCAUCUCAAACCCCCCCCCCCCACACACACACACAAAACCAACAAAAAAAGAAAGUGAUAUUCAAAUAAAAGCUUGAAGAAGGUGAGGAAGGAAUUCUUACCUGCAUCUUAAGGAAGAGCAUUCUAGGCCAAGGGAACAGCAAGAGCACAGAGGGUACCUGUUUGGGGAUUAGCAGAGGCUGGUGUGGCUAGAAGAUGGGCAACGAAAAGAGAUACAGAAAAUGGGGUGAGGGAGGUAAGAGUGUUGAGCUACCACCUAGGCUCUUAUAGGGAUUGUAAAGCUCUGGCUUUCACUUUGAAUGAGAUGAGAUGACUGGGUCUUGAGCAGAGGGACUUACUUCAUUUUUAAAAACAACUUUAUGGGGUAUAAUUUACAUACCAUAAGACUCACACUUUUUAAAUGUACAGUUCAAUAAUUUUUAGUAAAUUUACACAGUUGCCCAACUAUCACCAUAAUCCAGUUUUAGAACAUUUCCCAUCUCCCCUUGCAAUCCCCCACUGUGGCCUCCCAAAGUGCUGAGAUUACAGGUGUGAGCCAAUGUGCCUGGCCAAAAGUUUUUCAUUUCAAUAAAGUCCAAUGUUUAUGCUUUUGGUGUAAAAGAAACCACUGCUUAACCCAAAAUUGUAUGUAGUAUUGUCUAUUUUAUUUUUAUUUUGAGACAGUGUCUUACUCUGUUACCCAGGCUGGAGUGAAGCGGAACAAACAAACAUGGCUCACUGCAGAUUUGACUUCCUGGCUCAAGCAAUCCUCUUGCUUCAACCUCCAGUGUAGCAGGGACCACAGCAUGAAAGCCCCUUUAGGGGAGGUGACUGGAAUCAUCCCCAAAGAAUUCUCACCUAGUCCUGGUGUGGCUGCUUCAUAGUCCUGCGUUUCUUCCUGCUUGGCUGUCCCUAACAUCUCAGAAACGCAUAGAGAAGUAACGGGCUUCUAGAGAGGUAGGGGGUAUAGUGUUACAACUGAGGAUUUGGAAGUUGAGACCACCUGGUUCUUUACCAUCCACUAACCAUGUGACCUUAUGCAAUUUAUUCAACUGUUCUGUGCUUUGUUUUCUUAUUUACAAAAUGAGAUUAAUAGUAUACAGUAGUAAAUAUCAUAAAGGGUAGUGUGAUAAAUGAGCUGAUACAUUUGGAAUGGAGGGGAAUGACUGUUACAUAGUGAAUGCUCUGUGUAUCCUCACACUUGGGAAGUAUAUGUAAUCAGUGUAUGUAGUGCUUGAGGGAUUGUGAAUAAUACACAACAUAUCCUCAGUCAUCGAUUCAACAGAUGUUUAUUGAGCAUCUACUAUGUGCCAGUCCCUAUUCUAGGUCUGAGAGGAUAUACUGGUGAACUGCUCUAAUAGUUUAUAUUCCAGAGGAGAGAAUUUGACAGUAAACAUGUAACCAAGUUAAUAAGAUAAUUUCAGAUAAUGGCAGAUAUUAUGGGUUGAAUGAUGUCCCCCAAAAGAUGUUGAAGUCCUAACAUCUGGGACUAACACAUGGGAAUGUGACCUUUUUUGGAAAUAGGAUCGUUGCAGAUGAGGUCAUUGAUGUUAGCCCUAGACCAAUAUGACUGCGUCCUUAUAAAUAGGGGCAAUCUGGACACAGAGACAGACAUGUACCGUGUCUGAGGGAAGAUGAUGUAAAGAGACACAGGGUGAUCUGUAAGCCAAGGAAGACCUGAGGCUACCAAAAGCCAGGAAAGAGGUCUGGAACAGAUACUUCUCUGGCUCCCUUAGAAGGAACAUGGUCCUGCUGACACCUUAAUUUUGGAUUUCUGGCAUCCAGAACUCUGAGACAAUAUAUUUCUUUGGUUCUAAGCCAUCCACUUUGUGGUACUUUGCUACAGCAGCCCUAGAAAGCUAAUACAGUAGGUAAGAAGGUGAUGUGAUAGAGAGUAAGUGGGGGCAGGGUGGGAGGAGCUGCUUCAACUGGGGGAUUCAGGAAGGCCUAUGUUAUCUGGAAACCACUGAGGGUGGUAAGUAGGGAAGAGACUUGACUGGCUGACUUAAAAAGAAACUAUUUACGGGGGGAUAGAAUACAUAGGGGAAAAGACACAAAUCAUACAUGUAUUUUCAAUGAAUUUUUACAAAAUGAACACGUCAAUGUAACCAGUACCCAACUCCCUCUCCCAUGCCACCCUCUAAUUGAUGCCCACCCUAAGGGCAAACAAUAUUGUCAAUUCUAACACCCUAGAUUGAGUUUUGACUGUUUUUUGAAUUUCAUGUAAAUGGAAUCAUACAUGACAUACUCUUGUUUCCUUUCGCUCAUCAUGAGAUUCACCCACCUUGUGUAGUUUUAGUUCAUACAUUCUCAAUACUUUGUAGUAUUCCAUUGUGUGACUAUAUUAAAAUAUAGAUAUCUCUCUUGCUGUUAAGAGGCAUCUGGGUAGUUUCCAGUUUGGUCUAUUGUGAAUAGUGUUGCUAUGAACAUUCUUGUUCAUGUCUUUUGGUGAAUAUAUUUAUGCAUUUCUCUUGGGUGGGUCCCUAGAGUUGAGGUUUCUGGGAUCUCUCUCUCUCUCUUUCUCUUUCUCUCUCUCUCUUUAGGUAUAUUCAGCUUGAGUAGAUGCUACCAUCUCUGUGGCUGACAUAUUAGCAGAUUAUUUUGAGCUGGCCUGGUGUGCACCUGUAAUCCCAGCUCCUCAGGAGGCUGAGGCGGGAGGAUCACUUGAGCCAGGAGUUCGAGACCAACUUGGACAACAUAGCAAGACCCUGUCUCAGUCAGUCAAUCAAUCAAUGAUAAAUUUUGGUGCUGAGUGAAGAACAGAAUGUGACAGUUGGUGGGGGGUGGCAAGAGUGGAAAUGGAGAGACCAGAUAGGAGCCUAUUGUAAUAGUCCUAGCAAAGGAUGACAGUGGCUUUGGCCAGGGUAACAAGAGAUGGAGGAAAGCACACUCAUACAGGAUGCAUUAUACAGGGAAAGCUGACAGGACCUGCUGAUGGGUUGAAUGUGGAGAGACGAGGAAAAGAGAGGAAUCAAGGUUGACUGUUAGGUUUUUGGUUUGAACAACUAGGUGGACAGUUAUGUCAAUUACUGAGAUGGAGAAGAAUAGGAAAAUAACAGGUGUGUGGGAGAAUCAAGAAUUCUGGUUUGGCCAUGUUAAGUUUGAUAUGCUCAUUAGGUUUCCAAGUAGAAACAUCAAAUAGAUGGUUAGAACUCAGUGAAGAUGUCAGAUGGGAGAUACGAAUCUGGGGCCCUCAAAUCAGCAUACAGAUUUUUUUUUUUUUUUUUUUUUUUGAGAUGGAGUUUCGCUCUUGUUGCCCAGGCUGGAGUGCAAUGGCGCGAUCUCGGCUCACCGCAACCUCCACCUCCCCAGUUCAAGUGAUUC